UCAUACGGAGGAUCCAAGCGUUAUCCGGAAUAACUGGGCGUAAAGCGUUGCGUAGGCGGCCGUGUAAGCGGAGUGUGAAAUCGUGUGGCUCAACCAUACGGCUAUGCUCUGAACUGCACGGCUAGAGAGUGAGAGAGGUUACUGGAAUUUCUAGUGUAGGAGUGAAAUCCGUAGAUAUUAGAAGGAACACCGAUGGCGUAGGCAGGUAACUGGCUCAUUUCUGACGCUCAGGCACGAAAGCGUGGGGAGCGAACGGGAUUAGAUACCCCGGUAGUCCACGCUGUAAACGAUGGAUGCUAGCUGUGAGAAGUAUCGACCCUUCUCGUAGCGAAGCUAACGCGUUAAGCAUCCCGCCUGGGGAGUACGGUCGCAAGAUUA
RNAcentral lists this ribosomal RNA (378 nucleotides) under uncultured bacterium. RNAcentral's name for it is "bacterial SSU rRNA". It matches the Rfam family "Bacterial small subunit ribosomal RNA", at positions 521 to 896 of the family's 1533-position model. The record is from RNAcentral.